UACGUAGGGGGCAAGCGUUGUCCGGAAUCAUUGGGCGUAAAGCGUGCGCAGGCGGUUAUUUAAGUCAGGUGUGAAAGCCCUGGGCUUAACCUAGGAAUUGCGCUUGAGACUGGAUAGCUUGGAGUGCGGCAGAGGGAGGUGGAAUUCCACGUGUAGCAGUGAAAUGCGUAGAGAUGUGGAGGAACACCGAUGGCGAAGGCAGCCUCCUGGGCCAGCACUGACGCUCAUGCACGAAAGCGUGGGGAGCAAACAGG
Molecule: ribosomal RNA, 254 nt
Filed under: uncultured bacterium
Lineage: Bacteria
Description: partial 16S ribosomal RNA
Rfam family: Bacterial small subunit ribosomal RNA
Source: RNAcentral